This 462-nucleotide ribosomal RNA is filed under the name uncultured bacterium. Its description in RNAcentral is "partial 16S ribosomal RNA". It matches the Rfam family "Bacterial small subunit ribosomal RNA", at positions 29 to 523 of the family's 1533-position model. The record is from RNAcentral.
AACGAACGCUGGCAGCACGCCUAACACAUGCAAGUCGAACGAAGCAUAAGAGCUUGCUCUUAUGACUGAGUGGCGCACGGGUGAGUAACACGUGGGAAUCUGCCUAUUGGUGGGGAAUAACUUUUGGAAACGAAAGCUAAUACCGCAUAAGCCCUAAGGGGGAAAGAUUUAUCGCCAAUAGAUGAGCCCGCGCUAGAUUAGCUAGUUGGUGAGGUAAGAGCUCACCAAGGCUACGAUCUAUAGCUGGUCUGAGAGGAUGGUCAGCCACACUGGGACUGAGAAACGGCCCAGACUCCUACGGGAGGCAGCAGUGGGGAAUAUUGGACAAUGGGGGAAACCCUGAUCCAGCGAUGCCGCGUGAGUGAAGAAGGCCUUCGGGUUGUAAAGCUCUUUCGGAGGGGAUGAUAAUGACGGUACCCUCAGAAGAAGCACCGGCUAACUUCGUGCCAGCCGCCGCAGUAA